Molecule: transfer RNA, 82 nt
Filed under: Daphnia pulicaria
Lineage: Eukaryota; Metazoa; Arthropoda; Branchiopoda; Diplostraca; Daphniidae
Description: tRNA-Leu
Rfam family: tRNA
About the family: Transfer RNA (tRNA) molecules are approximately 80 nucleotides in length. Their secondary structure includes four short double-helical elements and three loops (D, anti-codon, and T loops). Further hydrogen bonds mediate the characteristic L-shaped molecular structure. tRNAs have two regions of fundamental functional importance: the anti-codon, which is responsible for specific mRNA codon recognition, and the 3' end, to which the tRNAs corresponding amino acid is attached (by aminoacyl-tRNA synthetases). tRNAs cope with the degeneracy of the genetic code in two manners: having more than one tRNA (with a specific anti-codon) for a particular amino acid; and 'wobble' base-pairing, i.e. permitting non-standard base-pairing at the 3rd anti-codon position.
Source: RNAcentral
GGUAGUGUGGCCGAGCGGUCCAAGGCGCUGGUUUAAGGCACCAGUCUCUUCGGGGGCAUGGGUUCGAAUCCCAUCGCUGCCA